This 468-nucleotide ribosomal RNA is filed under the name uncultured bacterium. Its description in RNAcentral is "partial 16S ribosomal RNA". It matches the Rfam family "Bacterial small subunit ribosomal RNA", at positions 28 to 507 of the family's 1533-position model. The record is from RNAcentral.
GACGAACGCUGGCGGCGUGCUUAACACAUGCAAGUCGAACGGAAAGGCCCUGCUUUUGUGGGGUGCUCGAGUGGCGAACGGGUGAGUAACACGUGAGUAACCUGCCCUUGACUUUGGGAUAACUUCAGGAAACUGGGGCUCAUACCGGAUAGGAGCUCCUGCUGCAUGGUGGGGGUUGGAAAGUUUCGGCGGUUGGGGAUGGACUCGCGGCUUAUCAGCUUGUUGGUGGGGUAGUGGCUUACCAAGGCUUUGACGGGUAGCCGGCCUGAGAGGGUGACCGGCCACAUUGGGACUGAGAUACGGCCCAGACUCCUACGGGAGGCAGCAGUGGGGAAUAUUGCACAAUGGGCGGAAGCCUGAUGCAGCAACGCCGCGUGCGGGAUGACGGCCUUCGGGUUGUAAACCGCUUUCGCCGGUGACGAAGCGUGAGUGACGGUAAUGGGUAAAGAAGCACCGGCUAACUACGUG